GCAACCUAAAUGUCCAUUAACAGAUGUACGGUUAAAGAAUGUGGUACACAUACACAAUGGAGUACUCUUCAAUCAUAAGAAGAAUGAGAUUCAGUUAUUUACAACAAAAUGGAUGGAAUUGGAGGUCAUUAAGUUGAGUGAAAUAAGCGACGGAUGCAAAGCAAACCACGGAGAUCAACUUCAGUAUAGUCAAGAUGAAACAGACAUUGAGGCAAAAAUUGGAAUAGGUAAAUGAGUAUAAUAAUGCACUACCCC
This is a non-coding RNA of Macaca mulatta (Rhesus monkey), 255 nucleotides long. The record is from RefSeq and is a predicted model, not a curated record. NCBI's taxonomy places the organism in Eukaryota, Metazoa, Chordata, Mammalia, Primates, Cercopithecidae.